Small nuclear RNA from Phyllostomus discolor (pale spear-nosed bat), 107 nucleotides. Lineage: Eukaryota; Metazoa; Chordata; Mammalia; Chiroptera; Phyllostomidae. The record is from RefSeq and is a predicted model, not a curated record.
GUGCUUGCUUCAGCAACACAUAUACUAAAAUUGGAAUGACACAGAGAGGAUUAGAAUGUCCCUUGCACAAGGAUGACACACAAGCUCAUGAACUGUUCCAUAUUUUA